Molecule: small nuclear RNA, 19 nt
Filed under: Arabidopsis thaliana (thale cress)
Lineage: Eukaryota; Viridiplantae; Streptophyta; Magnoliopsida; Brassicales; Brassicaceae
Description: snRNA_06381
Source: RNAcentral
UUAAAUUUCCGUUAACAGA